CCGUUUUUACCUACAUACAUAUCGCAUCAUUCAUUUGCUUUCUGUAUUUGGCGACUCUGAUUUGUAUAAUGUCAUGUGUAGAAGACUCUCUUGGAUUCCAAAAUUGGAAGGUGGGCUCUCUCUCUUCUCUCAUUUACAGUUCUACUUUGUAGAACACCACCACCAACAAAAACCAAACUACCUCAACCAAUUUUGGUAGAACUUUCUCAUACAUUUUGUGUUCUUCAAUCCAAAAACUCAAAACCCAACUCAAAAGUAACAAUCUUUUGUGAGAUUAGAAUUAUGGGGUACCUUUCUUGCAGAGCUGAAUCUGCUGUCUCCGUCUCCAAUUCCCAGACCCCAUCAGAUUCCCAUGAAAAACCCAUCAAGAUCCAACACUUCGAUUACAGUGAUCUCGUGGCUGCCACCAAUGGCUUCUCUGAUCAGAAGCUCUUAGGCAAAGGCAGCCACGGCUAUGUCUACAAAGCUGUACUUCGUGGCCGUCUUGUUGCCGUCAAGAGACCCUCCAGAGCUCACAGCAAAAUUCCCAGACCCACUUCGAUUUCUGGGCCUGAAGCCACCAACGAGGUCGACAACGAGAUCGAGAUCUUGUCGAAGAUUCAGAGCCCAAGAUUGGUGAACCUUCUUGGCUUCUCCAACGACACGAGAGAUAGGCUUUUGGUGGUGGAGUUCAUGAGCAACGGUACUCUCUAUGAUGUUUUACAUUCUUCUAAUGCUAAUAAUAAGCCUCCCAGUUGGGGAAGAAGAAUUAGAUUAGCUUUGCAAACUGCUAAGGCAAUUGACAUUUUACACUCGUCAAGCCCACCUGUAAUUCAUAGAGAUAUUAAGUCUGCGAAUGUUCUUAUUGACCGUAGUUACAAUGCCCGAUUGGGCGAUUUUGGGUUGGCUCUAAGGUGCCAUUUGGAUGACUAUAAGCUCCGGUCGACCCCGCCGGCCGGGACUAUGGGGUACUUGGACCCUUGCUAUGUUACCCCGGAUAAUUUGAGUACUAAAACUGAUGUGUUUAGUUUUGGGAUUUUGUUGUUGGAGAUUAUAAGUGGUAGGAAGGCUAUUGAUGUUGGGUUUUCGCCACCUUCAAUCGUGGAUUGGGCUAUUCCUCUUAUAAAGAGAGGGAAGUUGAUUACUGUUUAUGAUCCUAGGAUUGUGCCUCCUAAAGAGCCUGUUGUGAGGAAGCAGCUUGCUGUCAUUGCGGCCAAGUGUGUGAGGUCCUGUAGGGAACGAAGGCCAUCGAUGAAGGAGGUUGUGGUUUGGCUUACCGGGUUGAGUAAGUUGGUUCCUCUGCAUUCAUGGAAUAAUUUUAACAAUCCAUGUACAAUGGUAGAGACCAUGGGGCAACCUGUUGAAUCAAGGGCUUCACAGAUGAAUUUGAAUUUGAAUUUGAAGCCAUAUGGAUUCGGAGAAGAGAAUUUUGAAGGCAUGGAAGCUAAGUUGGCUAGGCAAGCUAUGAGGAAUUCGCGGAGGGUUUAUUCUGAUUUGGGGUUUAGUAGCAAUUUGAUGGAGCUUAUGGCCGGUACUGAUGAAGAGUCUGAAUUUCGGGGUAAGGCAGAUGGACACGAGCCCAAUUCAAAACCAGCAAAUCGGGUUUCUAGAUUUGGCAGUGCAAGAUACUUUAGCCGAGGGAGUAAUCAGUCUACUCCUAGUAAUGGGAGAGAAGUCCCUCAUUUGAUUCGAAAUCAGUCAUUUGGACAGAGGUCAUUUAUUUGUUCAAAAAGAGAUGGUGCCAUUUCGCAUGCAAGUGGUGGUAGCCGAUGAUAUCCAGUUUGCUGCAUAAAUUUGAUUCAAGUGAAUAGAAUGAAGGACCUGUUUUGAAGUGUCUGUCGUUCAUAUGCAAAAAUUGCAGCAGGGGUACAUGUGAGGCCUCUGCUAAAUAUAAUGUUUUGUGUUUUAAUUCUGUACUUCGAGUCUGCUUCUAAAAAUUUACAUGGAAUCUGCUUCUUGGUAGUAUUAGUUUGCACUUUAAGUCUUUGUUUCUGAAAGCUCUUUUCUCUCAUUGUGAUAAGUGUGUGUAUUCAAAAGGAUUAUCUUCAGGUCUGAGCUCUAAAUGUAUAUCCCUGUUUGGUAGUGUAAACAAUUGAGCAAAAGCAGGAACUUG
Rosa rugosa (rugosa rose) is the source of this 2092-nucleotide RNA transcript. It is a transcript of the gene named serine/threonine-protein kinase-like protein At3g51990, with no coding region annotated. The record is from RefSeq and is a predicted model, not a curated record. The transcript has 2 exons. Lineage: Eukaryota; Viridiplantae; Streptophyta; Magnoliopsida; Rosales; Rosaceae.